GAUGAACGCUGGCGGCGUGCUUAACACAUGCAAGUCGAACGGGAUAUAUUUCAUUGAGACUUCGGUGGAUUUGAUUUAUUUCUAGUGGCGGACGGGUGAGUAACGCGUGGGUAACCUGCCUUAUACAGGGGGAUAACAGUCAGAAAUGGCUGCUAAUACCGCAUAAGCGCACAGAGCUGCAUGGCUCAGUGUGAAAAACUCCGGUGGUAUAAGAUGGACCCGCGUUGGAUUAGCUAGUUGGUGGGGUAACGGCCCACCAAGGCGACGAUCCAUAGCCGGCCUGAGAGGGUGAACGGCCACAUUGGGACUGAGACACGGCCCAGACUCCUACGGGAGGCAGCAGUGGGGAAUAUUGCACAAUGGGGGAAACCCUGAUGCAGCGACGCCGCGUGAAGGAAGAAGUAUCUCGGUAUGUAAACUUCUAUCAGCAGGGAAGAUAGUGACGGUACCUGACUAAGAAGCCCCGGCUAACUACGUG
RNAcentral lists this ribosomal RNA (478 nucleotides) under uncultured bacterium. Its description in RNAcentral is "partial 16S ribosomal RNA". It matches the Rfam family "Bacterial small subunit ribosomal RNA", at positions 28 to 507 of the family's 1533-position model. The record is from RNAcentral.